CUCUCUUCUUCAAAGUCCAUCACUGUUUUUCUCUAACCAACACGAGUAGAAGGGGUUCUGAUUGCGGAUUCAAUCUUUUUCUGCGCGACCUAUAUAUUACAAGUUCAAGUAUCGUAAAGAGUAUGAGGCAAGGUUGAGGCAGUAAGCUUGGGAAGAGCUUGCGGCUGGGAGUUUGAGCAAAAGUUGGUAUUUUUGCUUGUCUAUAAUGUGUAUAUCACGGGGUUCUCUGGGUGGUUUUAAAUUUCUUGCUUGACCCAUGCAUCUGGAUAGUUUAUUUUGUUGUUGUCCCAUGUUUGUUUUGAUGUAUUUUGCUGUUGUAUAUACGAUGGGAUCUAGUUGGAAGUCCUAGCAUGGUUUGUAAAUGGAAACUUUGUUAUGCUGGAAACAGAGAUCCUGAAUCUCAUUUUGGAUGUUUAUUUGAAACUGCAUUUAGAACUUUCUUGGUCCUCAACAUGCUGGCAGGUUUUGAUAUAUAUAUUACACUCUGUUUGGAGA
Papaver somniferum (opium poppy) is the source of this 495-nucleotide long non-coding RNA. RefSeq lists it as uncharacterized. The transcript is spliced from 2 exons. The record is from RefSeq and is a predicted model, not a curated record. NCBI's taxonomy places the organism in Eukaryota, Viridiplantae, Streptophyta, Magnoliopsida, Ranunculales, Papaveraceae.